Vararia minispora EC-137 is the source of this 97-nucleotide non-coding RNA. NCBI's taxonomy places the organism in Eukaryota, Fungi, Basidiomycota, Agaricomycetes, Russulales, Lachnocladiaceae. The record is from the annotation of a GenBank genome assembly.
GGGCGAGUGGCACAGUGGUAGCGCGCUUGCUUCGCAUUCUUAGCUUUCACAUGGGAUCGACUGCACGAGGUCCUGGGUUCAAUCCCCAGCUCGUCCA